UGCCGCGUGAAUGAUGAAGGCCCUAGGGUUGUAAAGUUCUUUCAACGGUGAAGAUGAUGACGGUAGCCGUAGAAGAAGCCCCGGCUAACUCCGUGCCAGCAGCCGCGGUAAUACGGAGGGGGCGAGCGUUGUUCGGAAUUACUGGGCGUAAAGGGCGUGUAGGCGGACUGUUAAGUUAGGGGUGAAAUCCCAGGGCUCAACCCUGGAACUGCCUCUAAUACUGGCGGUCUUGAGAUUUGGAGAGGUGUGUGGAAUUCCUAGUGUAGAGGUGAAAUUCGUAGAUAUUAGGAAGAACACCAGUGGCGAAGGCGGCACACUGGCCAACAUCUGACGCUGAGGCGCGAAAGCGUGGGGAGCAAACAGGAUUAGAUACCCUGGUAGUCCACGCCGUAAACGAUGUGUGCUAGCCGUCGGGCAGUUUACUGUUCGGUGGCGCAAGUUAACGCGUUAAGCACACCGCCUGGGGAGUACGGUCGCAAGAUUAAAACUCA
RNAcentral lists this ribosomal RNA (491 nucleotides) under Alphaproteobacteria bacterium. RNAcentral describes it as "bacterial SSU rRNA". It matches the Rfam family "Bacterial small subunit ribosomal RNA", at positions 395 to 903 of the family's 1533-position model. The record is from RNAcentral. Lineage: Bacteria; Pseudomonadati; Pseudomonadota; Alphaproteobacteria.